GACGAACGCUGGCGGCGUGCCUAAUACAUGCAAGUAGAACGCUGAAGGAGGAGCUUGCUCUUCUGGAUGAGUUGCGAACGGGUGAGUAACGCGUAUGUAACCUGCCUGUUAGCGGGGGAUAACUAUUGGAAACGCUAGCUAAUACCCCAUAAGAGUUUUUGUUGCAUGACAUUUACUUAAAAGUUGCAAUUGCAUCACUACCAGUUGGACCUGCGUUGUAUUAGCUAGUUGUUGGUGUAAAGGCUUACCAAGGCGACGAUACAUAGUCGACCUGAUAGGGGGAGAGGGCCAAAUGGGAAUGGGAACAGGGCCAAAAGCCUAAGGGAGGGAGGAGGAGGGAAACGUCGGGAAUGGAGGGAAGGCUGACCGAAGAAAGGCGGGUGAGUGAAGAAGGUUUUCGGAUCGUAAAGAUCUGUUGUAAGAGAAGAAAGAGUGUGAGAGUGGAAAGUUCACACUGUGACGGUAUCUUACCAGAAAGGGACGGCUAACUACGUG
This 495-nucleotide ribosomal RNA is filed under the name uncultured bacterium. RNAcentral's name for it is "partial 16S ribosomal RNA". It matches the Rfam family "Bacterial small subunit ribosomal RNA", at positions 28 to 507 of the family's 1533-position model. The record is from RNAcentral.